CAGAAGGAACUUGCAUGAGAAGGAGGAAGAGGUGCGGCGGAGGUGGAACAACUCGCGGGUAGGGUGGCGGUGGUUUUCGGCGGCGGGGUUUUGUUAUCGUGAUUAAGGGGCUAAACCCUCGGGGGGUAGGCCGGUGGCCUCGCCGGGAAGGUGAGAUCGAGCGGGAGAGGAGACCCCAAAGAGGAAAGCACCAAACGGGAACCAUGAAACCCUAGAUGCCCAUCGCCCUUCUUCUUCUUCCUCUUCUUCUUCUUUGUCCCCGUUCCCUCUCCUGUAGUUAUUUACUCUCUCUCUCUCUCUCUCUAUACGCCUACUUUUUUCCUGCUCUCACUCUUCCGCCCCGUUGCCGUGGACAUCACUGCACGGGAAGUCGCCAAGCGAGAUUCCAAUUGCAGUCGAGUUCUCCCUCAGUCUCAGGUAUCGGUUGUCUUGUUAUCUGAUUCUAGUUUGAUUGCGGAGCAUUCGUUUCAUCGCGAUUGCCUUCGUGCUGGGGGAGAGUAGUGGAGGUUGUUAUCGCAUCUCGUGGAUAGGAUUCGAGGUGAUGGGUGCUCAGCAGUGCGACGAUGUCUUGCUUUCUUAUCGUUGAUAUUCUAUCGUGCGAAUUCACAGCGAUAAAAAAACUCGGCUUCUCUCGAUCUCUCUCCAGCUUUUACUGUAGCACGAUAAUUGUUUUCCUCUUACAUGUUGCUCUCGUGGGAUAUUCUCAACCGCUAUUCGAUGUUUGCCAUGCCUAACUGUUGUAGUUCUUCUUCAAGCUUUUUUUUGUCUGUACUGUUAGCUCCGUCAAUCAUCCUUGCUAUCUCGUUCGUCUUUAUUUGGUUAUUACUGGACGGUUAGUGUUCUCUUGUAGUGACGUCUUUCUUUCACAAGGAUAUUGAGGUUUCCAGUCUACGUCUCCGAACACACUUGUUAUCUUCCUGAUUUUUGGACUGUAUUUUUUAUUCAACCUACAAUCCUCAGAGCCAAAAAUGCAUUUUUUGCCGGUUUAUAUGUGAAUGUUUCUGGCGGUGCUAUUUAUUUCGCCCGCGUUUAUAACGUCUGUAAUUAAAAAUGUGGAUAAUGGCGGGCACAUGCUGAUCAAGCAACCUUUAAAUUCCUUCCCUGGUGAAUUAGCCUAAAAUGCAGAGUCUUCACCACGAAUGUAACCGCAUUAGUAUUUCUUUGAAUGUAUCUGUUAAAUAUUCUCAUGAGAUAAAUGUGGACGCACAGCAACGAUUUUAAAUGCGUAUUUGGUUUUUGUAAUUUAUUGGAAAGGUCUAGCUUUAGCUCUUGUGUAACAGCCAAUCAAUAAUCGUAUCAAUAUCUGUGUUCAUACUUUAUAUAUUAUAUAAAAGUAAUAUAAUCACAUCAAUAUCAUCAGCGUCACCUAACGAAUGAUCCAAUAUGGUGCUUUAUUCUUGAUUAAUGGAAAUGUUUGAAUGGAAACUUCGGACAAAAUGUGUGUCGUACAGUUCUUUCUAGAUUAUUUAACUGGUAGAAUUUAUCUUCUGAUUGCGUAUUUUGAGCUUUUAUAUUUUUUAAAUUGAUCAAUUGAGAGUGUGACCUGAUCAAAUGGAGAUGUCUAUUCUCCUUGUCAACUGGUGAAACUCAAUUUUAAGAUUAUCAUUCAUAUUUGUUAAUGCAACCACUAAAAAGAUAGGCAAAACCUCUGGUCAGUGUUAUUCGGCCAGAAGUAUGUUCACAGAAAUGUUCCUAGUAUGCAUUUAUGGUGCGUUAGCAUUCUGUGUGUGGAGAACACCGCGAUUGCCCUAGGCAUUCACUGCAGUAGUUGCAUCGGGAUGUGGAUAGGAAUCUGAAUAUCCUUUGUUGAUCUUAAUCCAUUCCAUUGAGUUGUAGCUACCUUCUUUUCUUUCUCUAUCUUCAGCUGCCUCCUCAAUCUGAUUUUUUGUUUUUGGAGCACUUGUUCCUGAACGUAAUAACUCAUCGCUCAGAUCCUAGUCCGCUGGGAUGCACUAUCUGUAAACCCAAGUAAUUAGUAUUAUCCAUGACUGAACCUCAACCAUCUCCACACUUGGUAAUAUGGGGUGUGCUUCAGCAACGUCUCAGUGUUGCUCCUUUUUCCCCUUUUUCAUUUUUUCUGCAUUAUCUGCGCUUCAUGUAACCUUCCUAGAUCUGAGAGAAUGCUUUUUAGGAUCAUGAAUACAUUUUUUCUUUUAAUUCAAUCAUUCAGUUUUCAGCUAUUUUUUUCGGAGGAAAAUUUAAAAUGUUUUAAACAUUACAUUUUUUGGGUGCUAGACUUGUUGCACUAUUUAUUAUUUAUUUUGUUCUCUUUCUCGUUAUUAAUGUAAGUGGUCUGCCUUUAUUUUAUCUCCUUUGGAAAAUAGAAAUUGGAAUGGGCAAUGAGUACGUAACGUGCAUCUAGAGUUUCUUGCUUUAAUUUUUUUUUGAAAGUGGGUGGUACCAAAUGAUUGCUCAAUAAAAUGACGAGAUUAUGCCCUUCCUGGUUAAAUUUUCGUGAAUUUUAUGAGAAUAUUGAUCAAUGAUGCUUCUACAUGAAUUUGGUUUAUUCUGAUAUAGAAAGAUUUUUUUUUCUUUUCGUUUUUAGGAAAUACAUGUUUCAUGUUGACUGUGAUUUUUUUGUCUCCCUUUGAUUUCUGUUUUUGUGGUUUGACAGUAGUUGGAGAACCACCCGAGGAAGAAAUGUCAACACCAAUAUUAUCCCCGGAAAACGUCUACAUGUGGUGCAUAAUUACUAUCCAAUCAAUGUGAAGUAAUAACUUCUCUGCAUCAUUGCUGUUAUAUCGAAUAUUUAAUUUGGUAAAACAGCCUUUUUGCUAUUCAAGCUUGCAAAAGCAUUCUUACGUCCCAUCAUC
Molecule: long non-coding RNA, 2813 nt
Filed under: Spirodela polyrhiza (greater duckweed)
Lineage: Eukaryota; Viridiplantae; Streptophyta; Magnoliopsida; Alismatales; Araceae
Description: long non-coding RNA (SPOL_LNC001059)
Source: RNAcentral